This 65-nucleotide transfer RNA is filed under the name Dipodomys ordii (Ord's kangaroo rat). It matches the Rfam family "tRNA". Rfam says of the family: Transfer RNA (tRNA) molecules are approximately 80 nucleotides in length. Their secondary structure includes four short double-helical elements and three loops (D, anti-codon, and T loops). Further hydrogen bonds mediate the characteristic L-shaped molecular structure. tRNAs have two regions of fundamental functional importance: the anti-codon, which is responsible for specific mRNA codon recognition, and the 3' end, to which the tRNAs corresponding amino acid is attached (by aminoacyl-tRNA synthetases). tRNAs cope with the degeneracy of the genetic code in two manners: having more than one tRNA (with a specific anti-codon) for a particular amino acid; and 'wobble' base-pairing, i.e. permitting non-standard base-pairing at the 3rd anti-codon position. The record is from Rfam by way of RNAcentral. Lineage: Eukaryota; Metazoa; Chordata; Mammalia; Rodentia; Heteromyidae.
GGUGGCUCAGUGGUAGAGUGUUUGCCUUGCAAGCAUGAGGUCCUGGGUUCCAUUCCUCAGCACCA